AUUGAACGCUGGCGGCAUGCUUUACACAUGCAAGUCGAACGGCAGCGCGGGCUUCGGCCUGGCGGCGAGUGUCGAACGGGUGAGUAAUGCAUCGGAACGUGCCCAGUAGUGGGGGAUAGUCCGGCGAGAGCCGGAUUAAUACCGCAUACGACCUGAGGGUGAAAGCGGGGGACCGAAAGGCCUCGCGCUAUUGGAGCGGCCGAUGUCGGAUUAGCUAGUUGGUGGGGUAAAGGCUUACCAAGGCGACGAUCCGUAGCUGGUCGGAGAGGACGAGAAGCCACACUGGGACUGAGCCACGGCCAAGACUCCUGCGGGAGGCAGCAGUGGGGAAUUUUGGACAAUGGGGGCGACCCUGAUCCAGCCAUGCCGCGUGCGAGAAGAAGGCCUUCGGGUUGUAAGCCGCUUUUGUUCGGGAAGAAAUCCUCUGGGCUAAUACCCAGGGGGGAUGACGGUACCGGAAGAAUAAGCACCGGCUAACUACGUG
This 484-nucleotide ribosomal RNA is filed under the name uncultured bacterium. RNAcentral describes it as "partial 16S ribosomal RNA". It matches the Rfam family "Bacterial small subunit ribosomal RNA", at positions 28 to 507 of the family's 1533-position model. The record is from RNAcentral.